Molecule: ribosomal RNA, 1433 nt
Filed under: uncultured organism
Description: SSU rRNA
Rfam family: Bacterial small subunit ribosomal RNA
Source: RNAcentral
ACGCUAGCUACAGGCUUAACACAUGCAAGUCGAGGGGCAGCAUUUCAGUUUGCUUGCAAACUGGAGAUGGCGACCGGCGCACGGGUGAGUAACACGUAUCCAACCUGCCGAUAACUCGGGGAUAGCCUUUCGAAAGAAAGAUUAAUACCCGAUGGCAUAAUUAGACCGCAUGGUCUUAUUAUUAAAGAAUUUCGGUUAUCGAUGGGGAUGCGUUCCAUUAGGCAGUUGGUGAGGUAACGGCUCACCAAACCUUCGAUGGAUAGGGGUUCUGAGAGGAAGGUCCCCCACAUUGGAACUGAGACACGGUCCAAACUCCUACGGGAGGCAGCAGUGAGGAAUAUUGGUCAAUGGGCGCAGGCCUGAACCAGCCAAGUAGCGUGAAGGAUGACUGCCCUAUGGGUUGUAAACUUCUUUUAUAUGGGAAUAAAGUUUUCCACGUGUGGAAUUUUGUAUGUACCAUAUGAACAAGGAUCGGCUAACUCCGUGCCAGCAGCCGCGGUAAUACGGAGGAUCCGAGCGUUAUCCGGAUUUAUUGGGUUUAAAGGGAGCGUAGGUGGACAGUUAAGUCAGUUGUGAAAGUUUGCGGCUCAACCGUAAAAUUGCAGUUGAUACUGGCUGUCUUGAGUACAGUAGAGGUGGGCGGAAUUCGUGGUGUAGCGGUGAAAUGCUUAGAUAUCACGAAGAACUCCGAUUGCGAAGGCAGCUCACUGGACUGCAACUGACACUGAUGCUCGAAAGUGUGGGUAUCAAACAGGAUUAGAUACCCUGGUAGUCCACACAGUAAACGAUGAAUACUCGCUGUUUGCGAUAUACAGUAAGCGGCCAAGCGAAAGCAUUAAGUAUUCCACUUGGGGAGUACGCCGGCAACGGUGAAACUCAAAGGAAUUGACGGGGGCCCGCACAAGCGGAGGAACAUGUGGUUUAAUUCGAUGAUACGCGAGGAACCUUACCCGGGCUUAAAUUGCAUUUGAAUAAUCUGGAAACAGGUUAGCCGCAAGGCAAAUGUGAAGGUGUUGCAUGGUUGUCGUCAGCUCAUGCCGUGAGGUGUCGGAUUAAGUGCCAUAUCGAGCGCAACCCUUAUCUUUAGUUAAUAACAGGUCAUGGUGAGGACUUUAGAGAGACUGCCGUCGUAAGAUGUGAGGAAGGUGGGGAUGAGGUCAAAUCAGCACGGCCCUUACGUCCGGGGCUACACACGUGUUACAAUGGGGGGUUCAGAAGGCAGAUACGUGGUGACAGGAUGCUAAUCCCAAAAGCCUCUGUCAGCUCGGAUCGAAGUAUGCAACCCGACUUCGUGAAGCUGGAUUCGUUAGUAAUCGCGCAUCAGCCAUGGCGCGGUGAAUACGUUCCCGGGCCUUGUACACACCGCCCGUCAAGCCAUGAAAGCCGGGGGUACCUGAAGUAAGUAACCGCAAGGAGCGUCCUAGGGUAAAACU